CUAUUUCAAUUACAGUAAAGGCACUUCUUCAACACAUCCCCCAUGGAAUACUGACCAUGACUCCACCGUGGCAACUCCCACUGUUGUAGUUGUUCAUACCUCUGGCUCCCCACACUAGAAUGUCAGGUCUCUGAAGGCAGGCACCAUGCUUUUACUUUUAUGUCUCCAGCACCAACCACAUUGUUUGAACUACAGAGCAUGUUUAAGAUUACUGAAGCACUGACAAGGUGCAGACCGGAAGCUCUAGAAACACAUCCAAGUGGAGAAGCAUGAGGAAGAACACAGAUCCUGGCUGGGAAGAAGUGUAAAAAACAUUUUAUCCUCAUAUCCCAUCACUGAGAAGAGGAUUGACGUCCAGUCUUGCAGGUAGGAAGGAUCCAAAGAUGAGAAGGAAAAGCACCAUGGUUCUCAAUGGAAAAUAUGUGGUCAAGGUCCACCCAUGCAUAAAGGUUUACUGUGGCAUUUGAGAGAGGAGAGAAGAAGAAAUCACUUUUUAGGAUUUUCCAGUGUGAGGGAGCCUUCCAGACUUUCAGAAGAAAUAAAUCCCAGGAUAGAUGAGGCUGACAUCGCAUCCCUCCCUAGUCAGUCCUAUUCUAUCACCACUGGCUGUGUGCCAAGGAAAUUGACCUUCUACUCUUCAUCUUCAAUUUUCUCAUGUCCAAAACUUCUAGGACAAUAACAA
Long non-coding RNA from Canis lupus familiaris (dog), 682 nucleotides. RefSeq lists it as uncharacterized. The transcript is spliced from 4 exons. NCBI's taxonomy places the organism in Eukaryota, Metazoa, Chordata, Mammalia, Carnivora, Canidae. The record is from RefSeq and is a predicted model, not a curated record.